Sus scrofa (pig) is the source of this 445-nucleotide non-coding RNA. Lineage: Eukaryota; Metazoa; Chordata; Mammalia; Artiodactyla; Suidae. The record is from RefSeq and is a predicted model, not a curated record.
UUCACGGCAGAUCCGUGGUUCUCCGCAGUGAAAUCUUGGCGACCAAGCAGGUCCUGAGGAUGCGUUAGGGCGAGGCGCCCCCUGUAGGUAGAAACAGGCUUGUGGCGCUUACCCAGAGACUGAACCCCCACCAGGUGAAAGAAGUUCACUACGUGAUGAGCAGACUGUAGUCGUGACCUAAGCUGCUGCGAUCCCGAGAAGUGGCCUCAAGGAAAUGGGAACGAACCGACCCUCGACCUGAAGACAGACUGUACUUAAAAUAAUGAGAUGAUGCUGGUCAGACCACUGCAAUGACCAAUGUCAAGGUGACGGCUGGAGCUGACUGUGCAGCCUCUGAAUACAGCCCCUCUUCCACCUUUAAAAGCUCUUGCCCGCUGAUUGUCAGGGGACCCUGGUCCUUUCGACAGAAGUACCCUCCCCCCUCAAACCCCACUUGCAUCCAAAA